This is a non-coding RNA of Sturnus vulgaris (Common starling), 601 nucleotides long. The record is from RefSeq and is a predicted model, not a curated record. NCBI's taxonomy places the organism in Eukaryota, Metazoa, Chordata, Aves, Passeriformes, Sturnidae.
GUGGUCAGGUGGGUUGGUGUGGGUGUUCCUGUAGAGAUGCUUCACAGUCUGCACUAACCAGGGCUGCAAAAUCUAUAUUUAUGUAUCUGUCCACUGACGUGCAAUGGCUACUACGUGGGGCGGUCACUGCCCAGCCCAGAUGUGGUAAGAAAAAUGUGACAAGGUUGCAUGUGCUGUGCGCUUGUGAGAGGAGAACUGUCCUUGAAACCGGGUUCAAACAUGAUUCACCCUCAAAGGAGUCAAAGUCCUAGUUCAGAAAGGCAGAUCCCUGACUUUUGUUCUCUUCAAAACAAGAAUUAAGAUACAUGUGUUGGAAGAAUAGUACUGAAGUCCCCCAAAGUAAAAUGAAUGGAUAUGUUCCCAUUCCUGUGGAAAAUUUUGGAGGUACCUCACAUAAUUUAUAAUUGAUUUUCCACUAAACUGUUGAAGAAUAAUUUUUGCUUCUGUUGCUAAAGUGCAGCACCAGCAAAAAAACCUGCAGAACAUCUUGGCAAAUUCUUCAGAAAUUACCUCUACCUCAAAAACCUGAAAGUAUGAUAUUUUUUUUGUUUGCUUUUAGGUCUUUUCAGUUUUUGGGUUUUUUUUAAUUUGAAAAAGAAAA